CAAUUAGUUGAGGACAUAUUUGUUUUGGGAAAGUGGGAAGCGAUUUUUCUUUGAAAGGUCGCUAGAGAACUAAUUUCUUUAAGUUCAUUUGGCAAUGAUUUCCAGACUUGUGGCCCAUUAAAUGCUAGGCUUUUUUUCAUGCUAUUGCUUCCUGGCUGAGAUAUCAAUGAAUGUACCCUUUCUACCCAUAACUGUCACAAGAAAGCAACCUGUACCAAUAAAUUAGGAUCAUUUUCAUGUAAAUGUAAUAUUGGUUAUUCGGGAAAUGGAAUUCUUUGCAAAGAGAUAAAACCGUGCCAGCCAAAUCCUUGUAAAACAAGGGUAUUUGUAC
Molecule: long non-coding RNA, 331 nt
Organism: Xenia sp. Carnegie-2017
Lineage: Eukaryota; Metazoa; Cnidaria; Anthozoa; Malacalcyonacea; Xeniidae
Exons: 3
Source: RefSeq, a predicted model, not a curated record